This 1410-nucleotide ribosomal RNA is filed under the name metagenome. RNAcentral describes it as "bacterial LSU rRNA". It matches the Rfam family "Bacterial large subunit ribosomal RNA", at positions 1519 to 2913 of the family's 2925-position model. The record is from RNAcentral.
UGUAGGCUGGUUUUCCAGGCAAAUCCGGAAAAUCAAGGCUGAGGCGUGAUGACGAGGCACUACGGUGAUGAAGCAACAAAUGCCCUGCUUCCAGGAAAAGCCUCUAAGCAUCAGGUAACAUCAAAUCGUACCCAAACCGACACAGGUGGUCAGGUAGAGAAUACCAAGGCGCUUGAGAGAACUCGGGUGAAGGAACUAGGCAAAAUGGUGCCGUAACUUCGGGAGAAGGCACGCUGAUAUGUAGGUGAGGUCCCUCGCGGAUGGAGCUGAAAUCGGUCGAAGAUACCAGCUGGCUGCAACUGUUUAUUAAAAACACAGCACUGUGCAAACACGAAAGUGGACGUAUACGGUGUGACGCCUGCCCGGUGCCGGAAGGUUAAUUGAUGGGGUUAGCGCAAGCGAAGCUCUUGAUCGAAGCCCCGGUAAACGGCGGCCGUAACUAUAACGGUCCAGGUAGCGAAAUUCCUUGUCGGGUAAGUUCCGACCUGCACGAAUGGCGUAAUGAUGGCCAGGCUCUCCCGAGACUCAGUGAAUUGAACUCGCUGUGAAGAUGCAGUGUACCCGCGGCAAGACGGAAAGACCCGUGAACCUUUACUAUAGCUUGACACUGAACAUUGAGCCUUGAUGUGUAGGAUAGGUGGGAGGCUUUGAAGUGUGGACGCCAGUCUGCAUGGAGCCGACCUUGAAAUACCACCCUUUAAUGUUUGAUGUUCUAGCGUUGACCCGUAAUCCGGGUUGCGGACAGUGUCUGGUGGUAGUUUGACUGGGGCGGUCUCCUCCUAAAGAGUAACGGAGGAGCACGAAGGUUGGCUAAUCCUGGUCGGACAUCAGGAGGUUAGUGCAAUGGCAUAAAGCCAGCUUGACUGCGAGCAUGACGGCGCGAGCAGGUGCGAAAGCAGGUCAUAGUGAUCCGGUGGUUCUGAAUGGAAGGGCCAUCGCUCAACGGAUAAAAGGUACCCGGGGAUAACAGGCUGAUACCGCCCAAGAGUUCAUAUCGACGGCGGUGUUUGGCACCUCGAUGUCGGCUCAUCACAUCCUGGGGCCUGAAGUAGGUCCCAAGGGAUGGCUGUUCGCCAUUUAAAGUGGUACGCGAGCUGGGUUUUAGAACGUCGUGAGACAGUUCGGUCCCCUAUCUGCCGUGGGCGCUGGAGAACUGAGGGGGCUGCUCCUAGUACGAGAGGACCGGAGUGGACGCAUCACUGGUGUUCGGGUUGUCGCGCCACGGCACUGCCCGGUAGCUAAAUGCGGAAGAGAUAAGUGCUGAAAGCGUCUAAGCACGAAACUUGCCCCGAGAUGAGUUCUCCCUGACUCCUUGAGAGUCCUGAAGGAACGUUGAAGACGACGACGUUGAUAGGCCGGGUGUGUAAGCGCAGCGAUGCGUUGAGCUAACCGGUACUAAUGAACCGNUGA